AUGUUGCUAAAAUCACGAAGUCCUCCUACGAAUUUGGCGUUUGCACGACCAGGUCCACUGAGUUCGAAAAGCCAAUCCAAUCGAAGCCACGGUUGGUUCAGACGCUGUUGGAAAAUGUUCUCAAAACUGUUUUGAUGAACGCCGUCCUUCGGAGUAAGCAACAGUUCCAGGGAAGCCUUGAUAGGCACAGACGGAUCACGCACCGAAAAGUCAAAGCGACGGAGCAAAUUUGCUAAAACUAUUUUUAGCUCGAGCAUGGCGAACUUCAGACCUAUCGCUAAAUGGAAUAAAGGCGUAAGGAUGGCGACCAACACUGUUCUCCGGAAGGAAGCGUUCGGGAUUGAAAACUUCGGGAUUCGGAUAAACUUGAGGAUUGUGGUGCAAGCUGUGUAUCAUUAUCGCAACGGUAACUCCCUUUGGCAAAACAUAUCCACCUGUAAGCAUUGCAAUUUGAUUGUGGUUAAUUAUUUUGAAUUCUUUGAUUGUUGUGGUUUUAAUUGCCAAUUUCAACGUCUUCUGGAAGGCAGCGUAAAACAAACGGGAUGCUGGGGUAGAGCCUCAUUGUUUCUUUGAUGCAACAUUCCAGGUACUUUAGUUCAGUCAAAUCCUGCGACGUACAUGGCCGAUCCGAUUCGCCAAAAACGUGGUCCACCUCGUCAUGUAGCAGUUGCUGAUUGAUAGUUGCAUUCAUCGGAUUCUUCGCGAUCAUGCAAAGGAACCAUGUAAAAGCCAAUGCCGUCGUUUGACUCUUCGUUCAGAAAAAAUGAAAUUCAGUAAUCAUCCAAUGCUAAGGUAGAAAAAAGUUGCUUACAGCGCCUAAAAAUGCAUUGACUUCAUCUCUGAUAUCCGUUUCAUUAAAAUGUUCUUUUCCCAAUUCCGUCAAGACUAGGUCGAGAAAGGGCAAUUUUUUCUCUUCAAGACAUAGUCAAAUUUAGUGCUCAUAAAAUUUAGGGAAAAUAAACUCUUUACUUGCUUCGCCAACAUCGAUUGCUCCAACAUCACCCUCAGGAGCAGCAUCGUUUGUUUGGGUCAUUUUACAAGAUUUUGUUGUUGAAUUCCAUUUUAUUUGAGCCGCGUCUCGUUCUAGUGCUUCACGACGUGCUUUAAUUAUCUUGAAAAGAAACGAAAUUUUUCGUUAAGUAAGUCGGGAUGUACCAUGAACCUUUGUGUUACCAUGUUGCAGAACUGAUGGAGCCCUUCAACACACCGGGCAUUUUCACGGCCUGGAGCUGUUAGUUUAAAAAACCAGUUGAUCCUAAGCCACGGUUUGACGAUGCGUUGUUGGAAAACCCGUUCGAAACUAAAGAAAUCAAAUCUCAUUUUUCCAUUUUCGUUUUUCUUCAGUAAACAUCAAACAACGUCUGCAAAUUUUAGCCACUUGCCCCUCAAGGUUGUUAAGAAAGAGUGCCUUUUCUUCUUUUUUUAGUGCUUCUCGUCCCAUAAAAGUAUCUAAAUUUGAUAAGUUUUAGUAGCCUUGUAAUAGUACGGCACUUCAAUAGUUACCGCAAAUAAUAUCUAAGGUGCUCCUUGACAUAAUGGGGAAGACGUCAAUUUCAUCACCCUUGUUGUUUUCUAUGGCCUCUUCAAAUUCCUCCACACAGAUUAUGCUCUUGCUAUUGAUGGCGUCCACAAAAGUGUUGAGGAUUUGAAAAUGAAAAGCUGGAUUAAGUAGACGCCGAUUUUUCUUCCAUCGCUCAUCUGUGAGAAAAAACAAGGAAUGAUAACAAAACACAGCGGGACGUGGCGAAACUUUAAAUUCACCUAUUGCCACAGGGAUUCCUUUGCCAAUAAACGGAGUGAAGAUGUCGUACUCGAUCGGUUUCUUAAUGAAUUUAUGGUUUCCCAUAAUCGUCUAAAUGGAAAGAAAAAUUUAAAUCCAGUGCAUAACUAUCUCCGACGGCUGUUCAACGAAAUGAACUUACAUCCAACAAUUCGGGUGAUGUAAUGAGGAUAACUGGACGAAUAGUGAACCAAAUGCGCAUUCACCGUCGUUUGGAACGUUCAAAUCCAGAACAUUGCCAAGAAAUGGAAGACCAUCUGGUCCUGGAAUGGCGUUGAUAAGUCGAACAAAACGUGAUUGGCGCCAGAUCCAAUAAUAAACGGCAAGUAAUCCG
Daphnia carinata is the source of this 2114-nucleotide long non-coding RNA. RefSeq lists it as uncharacterized. The record is from RefSeq and is a predicted model, not a curated record. Lineage: Eukaryota; Metazoa; Arthropoda; Branchiopoda; Diplostraca; Daphniidae. The transcript has 5 exons.